CGGGAGGCGGGGGCGCGCGCGGCGUCGUCCGGCGGUGACCUGGUUGGCUGCGCCGGAAGUGGGCGCGCGCGGGGCUCCCAGGUCUCGGCCAUGGCUCACAGGCCGAAAAGGACCUUCCGGCAGCGUCGAGCCGACUCCAGUGACAGCGACAGCGCGGAGGAGCCGUCGGUUGAACCCGGGGCGCCGGGGGAGCAGGCAGUCCCGGGCCCUGCGGAGGAAGGGCCGCCCCCUGAAGGAGGCAGCGCGGAGGCAGCAGCAGAAAGGCCCCUUCGCGUCCGGGGCCCUCGGGGCCGGGGCCGGGGCCUGGUCUGGGCCACUUCUCGGCGCGCGGCCCCCGGAGCUGCUCCCCGAGCGGACGGCGGCUCGGGCGCCCCAGAAUGCAGAACAGUUGAUCUUUCAACAGAUGAAGAGGAUGGAACAUACGAUGCCUCAGAAACUAAGGAUGAUCAGAGUUCAUCUUCCAACAGCUCUAGCUCUCUGGAAGAAGAAUUUUCAUCAAUAGUAAAUAUCCCUGAUGCAGCUUUUAUUCAGGCAGCCCGCAGAAAACGUGAAUUGGCCAGGGCCCAAGAGGACUAUAUUUCUUUGGAUGUAAAACAUAUUUCUACCAUUGCUGAUACGAAGAAAGAUAGUGAUGAAGAUCCUGAGAGUGAGCCCGAUGACCAUGAAAGAAGAAUACCAUUUACCCUAAAGCCUCAAACACUUAGACAAAGAAUGGCUGAAGAAACAACAACCGGAAAUGAAACAAGUGAAGAAAGUCAGGAAGAUGAAAAUCAAGAUAUUUGGGAACAGCAGCAAAUGAGGAAAGCAGUUAAAAUCAUAAAGGGAAGAAACAUAGAUCUUUCUCACAGUAGUGAAUUUCAAACAGUGAAGAAGUUCGAUACUUCCAUUUCAUUUCCACCAGUAAAUUUAGAAAUUAUAAAGAAGCAAUUAAAUAGUAGAUUAACAUUACUACAGGAUACUCACCGCUCACAUCAGAGGGAAUAUGAAAAAUAUGUUGAAGAUGUCAAGAGCUCAAAGAAUGCCAUCCAGAACCUAGAAAAUUCAUCAAAUCAAGCUCUAAAUUUUAAAUUCUAUAAAAGCAUGAAAAUAUAUGUGGACAAUUUAAUUGACUGUCUUAAUGAAAAGAUUAUCAACAUCCAAGAAAUAGAAUCAUCCAUGCAUGCACUCCUUUUAAAACAAGCCAUGACCUUUAUGAAACGCAGGCAAGAUGAAUUAAAACAUGAAUCAACGUAUUUACAACAGUUAUCACGCAAAGCUGAGACAUCAACAAAUGGAAGCUUGGCUAUAGAUGAAAAAACUCAAUGGAUUUUAGAAGAAAUUGAAUCUCGAAGGGCACAAAGAAGACAAGCAAGGGCACUUUCUGGGAAUUGUGAUCAUCAGGAAGGGACAUCUAGUGAUGAUGAACUAUCUUCAGCAGACAUGGCUGACUUCCAAAAAAGUCAAGAUGACAUUUUACAGGAUCAUAAGAAGAUCUUUGAAGAUGUGCAUGAUGAUUUUUGUAAUAUCCAGAAUAUUUUGUUAAAAUUUCAACAAUGGCGAGAAAAGUUUCCUGAUUCUUACUAUGAAGCUUUCAUUGGUUUAUGCAUACCAAAGCUUUUAAAUCCCCUAAUACGAGUUCAGUUGAUUGAUUGGAAUCCUCUUAAGUUUGAUUCCAUAGGUUUAAAACAGAUGCCAUGGUUCACAUCUAUAGAAAAAUUUAUAGAUAAUAGUAUGGAAGAUUCAAAGAAGGAAGAUAGUUCUGAUAAGAAAAUCUUGUCUUCUGUCAUCAACAAAACAAUUAUUCCACGACUUAUAGACUUUGUAGAAUUCAUAUGGGAUCCUUUGUCAACCUCACAGACAACAAGUUUAAUAGCUCACUGCAGGAUGAUUCUUGAAGAACAUUCCACUUGUGAGAAUGAAGUUAGUAAAGGCAAACAGGACUUACUUAAAUCCAUUGUUUCAAGAAUGAAGAAAGCAAUAGAAGAUGAUGUUUACAUUCCUCUGUAUCCAAAAAGUGCUGUAGAAAACAAAACAUCACCACAUUCAAAGUUCCAAGAAAGACAAUUCUGGUCAGCUCUAAAGGUGUGGCCAGCGGGCCCUGACUCUGGCCCUGUCCACGGUGCUGGAGAUGCUCAUCACACACUGGCCUCUCACAAAAACCCUUGCUCGACACUGAGCCAGGAGGCAGCCCGCGGAUGAAGCCACGGUUGGGCAGGCCAGGCUUCCUGCGUGUCCUUAACUGGCCCUGUGUGAGAUUGGGCACCACCGAGGAGCAGCUCUUGUUCGGAGGACGCACACGGUGCCACAUCAAGACUGUGAAGAAGAGAAACAUUUUGUGUUGUUUGGAUUUAAAUCUGUUGGAUGGUGACGUUUACUGCGAUGUGCACAUUGACUCACGAAUGGGUGGUGUAAACAGUAGAUGACAAGCAGUAUAUUCUAAAACGGGAGACGAAGAGGAAACCAUUUAAGUGAUCCACACAGCAUAAAGAUGAGUAAUGUUUCAUAAAAUGUGUUUCCCUUAUCUAUGUGGGUGUUCUGAGUCACAGUGUAAAAUGUUCUUAGUGAGGAUUAUUUUUUUAAAAAUAUCAAACACUGGAAACUCAGUUAUGGGUAGACACUAGGAAGAAAACCAAACCCAGAGGUUCUGAAGCUUUCAGACCACAGCAGACCUAUACCCCACACAGAGAACAGUAGGUGAAUUUACACAUGUUCAUAGCUUCAGUGAGCAAAUAAAAUAACUACCACGUCAUCUACGUUAUGGCAGAGAUCACAAACUAAUACCCCAGAGAUAUUUUGGGUUUGGUUCCAGACCACUGGCUGCAUCUCUUGACAAGUUCCUCCCAGCCACAGUGAUGGUCUGGAGAGCCACAAAUGCAGCCUUUUAUUUGAUGCUCCUCUGCCUGUAAUAAUGUCCAUAAAUGUCAUAAAGGGGGUAUCACAAUAAAGCAAAUCAUAAUCUUUUUGCUUGUGGAGGGUCUGGUCUUCAAUUCAUAAAAAAUGCAACAUUUGUGAAAUGCAGUAAGACAAGGAAUUGGCUAACCCUGGGUGGGGUCCUCAAGGCCCCAGAAGCCAAAACGUCAGAACACAGAGCAAAAGGCUUGGUUAAUACACAUGGCCAUACAGAGACGGGGCAGGCCUGAUGGGGGCCAUGGGCUGGAUUGCCAAUGAAUGGGCUAAGAAAACAAAGGCAAUGUCGAGUAUCUAAGGUGUGAGUAUCGUGAAAAAUAAAGGCUUUGUAGUGAAUGUACUACUCCAUGAAGCUUCUGUGAUCCUUGCCAGUAAACAGUGAGGAAAGAAAUAGUAAUUUAUGCCAGUAAGAAACAACCUAUGCCCGCUUACAUUUAAGAAAGACCUUUCCCUAUUCUGCUGAUAUAAUCCGUUCAUUCUGUCCCUGUAAGGCCCAGACCAUGAUCACUCCCUCUCCUGCUCGUUCUUAUCUUUACUUAGAAGGGUAAUAGCCAGAGAACUUGGAAUUCUAAAGUAGCUAUCAACUUGAUUAUAGCUUCGCAAGCCCUCUAGUAAAAUAUCAGUGUGAUCUUUCAUCUCUUCAUUCUAACCAAAGCUAAAUUAAAGUUUUGAAGCUCAUAACCUAAUCAUAGUGUUGGGAAUUCCUCGAGGGCACAGAUAGUUAUUUCCCUCACAUGCUACUUCCUGCCUCACAUCCUUUCACUGUCUGUGUGUUGCAGUCAGGAGAAAACCCCACGUCCUGUCUGUGGCCCUGCGCCAUCCGGAUCUGCGCUUGCCCUCGCCUGCUGCUCUGGGUGCAUCUCUUGACAAGUUCCUCCUUCUCAGUAGCCACAGUGAUGGUCCGGAGAGCCACAAAUGCGGCCUUUUAUUUGAUGCUCCUCUGCCUGCAAUAAUGUCCAUCUCACUCCUCAUUCUUGAGGUCUUACCCGUCUCAUCUAAAUCUUAUCCAUCUCCUCUGCAAGUCUUUCUCAUAGCUGCCUCUUCUCUUCCUUCACAACUUGCUUCGGUACAAUUAUCAUUGUAAUACCCUUUUAUUUAUUUAUUUUUUAUUGAUUUUAGAGAGGAUAGGAGAGGGAGAGAGAGAGAGAGAAACAUCAAUGAUGAGAAUCAUUGAUCAGCUGCCUCCUGCAUACCCCCUACUGGGGACCAAGCUUGCAUGUGACCUCCUAGUUCAUAGGUCAACACUAAACCACUGAGCCACACUGGCUGGGCUGUAAUACCCUUCUAAUGUGUCCGUCUUCCAUUAGGUCCCAGGUCCUAGAGGGCUAAGGAUCUGGUAUACGGUAGUCACUCAAUAAAUAUUCACUGAGUGAAUGAAUAAAUGAGUGAAAGAAUGAGUGAGUGAGCAAAAGCAAAUGCCUAGCAGCUUGAGGAGCAAGGAGAAGCCUGGGUGCAGGGUAGGCGUGAUCCCUGUGCUGUGGGUACGGGGGUCACUCCCAGUGGCUUUUAAAUCCUCCUUCACAUCUGAGAGAUUAUGAAGCAGCAGCUCGGAGAAAAGUGUGUCAUGCGGACGCUGGGAGAGAAUUCUCAGGGAGGGAGGGAAUGAGAGAGAACUUUAGGGCACUUAAAGGAUGAUCCAAAGGGUACAUAUGGGGGUGAGCCAGGCCCCCCCAUGAUGCUCUGUGACUGCAUGAGACACACAGUCCUUACUUAGUGUGAUCUGACUACAAUCCUAAUACACCCUUUAGACACUCUCCUCAGCAGCAACCUCUUGUCACAGUUGCUUCACUGUCACCCAAGCACCAGUUGAUGGCUUUCCUAAUAUGCAUAAUCGCUCCAUUAUUCUGGAUAUUAUGCGCAAGGGAGGAGUAUCCACACAGUGGGCAGAUUUAGUGUCCCUCCUUUUUUCUGUUUUAUUUUCAAUAUGUUCUAUAUUCUAUACUAUGUGUGUGCUCACUGGGCAACAGAAUAAGAAGUGACGCACAGUUCACACUCAGCUCUCCUUUUCACUGCGAGCUCUUUGUGUAGCGUUGCCUGGACAGCUGUAGGGUGGUGUCAAGCACGUGGGCUCCAGAGCGAUGGUGCUGGGGUUUAUAUGUUGUGCUUUGUGACCCUGGGCAUCUCACUUACCUUCUCUGAGCCUCGAUUUUCUCACGUAAAAAAUGGGGAUAAUAAGAGCACCCAUCUCCUAUAGUUGUUAUGAAGAAUUAAUAAGCAAAUAGAUAUACAAAGCUCAGAAUGGCGUCUGCAGCAUAGUAAGUAACAAGAGUAAAUGCUAGCUAUCAUUACAAUUUGUAUCUGAA
Molecule: RNA transcript, 5189 nt
Organism: Myotis myotis
Lineage: Eukaryota; Metazoa; Chordata; Mammalia; Chiroptera; Vespertilionidae
Gene: GCFC2
Gene name: GC-rich sequence DNA-binding factor 2
Exons: 16
Source: RefSeq, a predicted model, not a curated record